Molecule: non-coding RNA, 340 nt
Organism: Styela clava
Lineage: Eukaryota; Metazoa; Chordata; Ascidiacea; Stolidobranchia; Styelidae
Source: RefSeq, a predicted model, not a curated record
AGAUGAUUACUUAUGGGCAGCUGAGAGAAAACUUGGAUGCCUAGGAUUUUAAAGGGGUUUCGUUCUGAGAAAAGAGUUUCCGCAGAAGGGUGAUCAACUCGGUAAUAUGAAGAAGCGGAUAAUUUGGUCGAGUGACAUCCAUCAUCAUUAUAGGAAUGUACAGUUGAAAUAAACGUUAUUCAUAAAGUGGUACACUUCUCUACGGACACACGUUAAGUAUGGAAGAACUACACAGUCGAUGUGUACUGCAUCGAGCAUCAUAAGAGCGUUUGAUCCAACUGUUAUAAACUGAUAGAUUUACACCAAGACGGCUGGUACCUGCCGUUAUUCAAGACUGAGG